Molecule: ribosomal RNA, 247 nt
Filed under: uncultured bacterium
Lineage: Bacteria
Description: partial 16S ribosomal RNA
Rfam family: Bacterial small subunit ribosomal RNA
Source: RNAcentral
AGAUGGCGACCGGCGCACGGGUGAGUAACACGUAUCCAACCUGCCGAUAACUCGGGGAUAGCCUUUCGAAAGAAAGAUUAAUACCCGAUGGUAUAAUCAGACCGCAUGGUUUGAUUAUUAAAGAAUUUCGGUUAUCGAUGGGGAUGCGUUCCAGUAGGCAGUUGGUGAGGUAACGGCUCACCAAACCUUCGAUGGAUAGGGGUUCUGAGAGGAAGGUCCCCCACAUUGGAACUGAGACACGGUCCAA